ACGGCACCACUGCACGGAAGUUUGAGCACGAAGUGCGUAGUUGGUGUCGUGCUGGCGAGGCCGCCUGUUUCCUUGACUCUCGCCAGCUCCAGCCGCGAGGGAGGCGCUCCGAGAAGCCCACGAUGUGAUAAUGAAUUAGAAUUUUUGAUAGAAGAAGAAAAAAUGCUGGCAUGCAGAUAAUGAAAAAGUUCACAGUUUGUACAAAAUUUCCAUUUAAAAUUUUCAUCUAAUAUGUUACAGGUAAGUGGUUUGUUUUGUUUUGCCAAUAUGUAGAAUGGUAUAAUUUAUUUAUAUUUGUCCACAUACUAUAUUUUCUUAUAUAUAUGUGGUGAUAUACCUAGUGUUGAACCUCUUUCAUACAUGGGUUUUUUAACAUUUGUAAAAUUGUUAAAGUCCAUGUGACAACUGCAUCUGCUGUAAGGUUUACAAUUUCCA
RNAcentral lists this long non-coding RNA (435 nucleotides) under Chinchilla lanigera (long-tailed chinchilla). RNAcentral's name for it is "lncRNA (ENSCLAG00000022468.1)". The record is from RNAcentral. Lineage: Eukaryota; Metazoa; Chordata; Mammalia; Rodentia; Chinchillidae.